This 437-nucleotide long non-coding RNA is filed under the name Vitis vinifera (wine grape). RNAcentral describes it as "long non-coding RNA (VVIN_LNC003491)". The record is from RNAcentral. Lineage: Eukaryota; Viridiplantae; Streptophyta; Magnoliopsida; Vitales; Vitaceae.
UCAGAACCAACCACUUGCCACUGGUUCGGAAUUAAUCCAUCUAUUGGCCCGCCUGCAUAAUGUGGUGGAUUAGCUUGUGGAAUAAAUCCCUCAGUGGGUGGUCAAAAUGGCUGCCAGAAGAGCCAUAACUCCGUUGGAACACCUCAUCAUGGCUGGCUCCAUCAUGGUAACUCUUCUUAGUUUCCUCAACUGGAGCUUCUCCCUCCUCAGUAGUUUCCUUCUUAGCUGCUGCAAAUUUUGUUGACUUUCCUUCACCAGAAUAUGCACUGCUACCACAUGAGGGUUAGGAAUUAGUGCAAAAGCAUGAUGCAUCACACCCAAAGCAUGAAGCUCGAUUGCUGUUUAAAUCCCCACUAAGACCAGAUGAAUGCUGUCAUCUCAAAGGCAUUCUGUGCAACGCUUAAAGAAGGAAAAACAUCAGAAGGAGCUGCUCCUCU